This 324-nucleotide ribosomal RNA is filed under the name uncultured Chlorobiota bacterium. RNAcentral's name for it is "bacterial SSU rRNA". It matches the Rfam family "Bacterial small subunit ribosomal RNA", at positions 28 to 351 of the family's 1533-position model. Lineage: Bacteria; Pseudomonadati; Chlorobiota. The record is from RNAcentral.
GACGAACGCUGGCGGCGUGCUUAACACAUGCAAGUCGACGAUGUUUAUAUAGCAAUAUAUAAAUGUAGUGGCGCACGGGUGAGUAACGCGUAUGUAAUCUGCCUUUGGCUCAGGGAUAACACCUCUAACGAGAUGCUAAUACCUGAUAAUGCAGCGGCACCGCAUGGUGACAGUUGUUAAAGCUUCGGCGGCCAUAGAUGAGCAUGCGUUUGAUUAGGUAGUUGGUGAGGUAACGGCUCACCAAGCCAAUGAUCAAUAGCUGGUCUGAGAGGAUGAUCAGCCACACUGGGACUGAGACACGGCCCAGACUCCUACGGGUGGCUG